This 513-nucleotide ribosomal RNA is filed under the name uncultured bacterium. RNAcentral's name for it is "partial 16S ribosomal RNA". It matches the Rfam family "Bacterial small subunit ribosomal RNA", at positions 28 to 523 of the family's 1533-position model. The record is from RNAcentral.
GAUGAACGCUGGCGGCGUGCCUAAUACAUGCAAGUCGAACGCGCAGCGAAAGGUGCUUGCACCUUUCAAGCGAGUGGCGAACGGGUGAGUAACACGUGGAUAACCUGCCUCAAGGCUGGGGAUAACAUUUGGAAACAGAUGCUAAUACCGAAUAAAACUUAGUAUCGCAUGAUACAAAGUUAAAAGGCGCUACGGCGUCACCUAAAGAUGGAUCCGCGGUGCAUUAGUUAGUUGGUGGGGUAAAGGCUUACCAAGACGAUGAUGCAUAGCCGAGUUGAGGGACUGAUCGGCCACAUUGGAACUGAGACACGGCCCAAACUCCUACGGGAGGCUGCAGUAGGGAAUCUUCAACAAUGGGCGCAAGCCUGAUGGAGCAACGCCGCGUGUGUGAUGAAGGCUUUCGGGUCGUAAAGCACUGUUGUAUGGGAAGAAAUGCUAAAAUAGGGAAUGAUUUUAGUUUGACGGUACCAUACCAGAAAGGGACGGCUAAAUACGUGCCAGCAGCCGCAGUAA